AAGCCGUGGUGUGGGCAUAGUCUCAUUAACUCCUUAAACCUAUCCCAAGCCUCAUACAAUGAUUCACCAUCCUUCUUAAAAAACAAGUGAUUUGGUUUCGUAGUU
Small nucleolar RNA from Dioscorea cayenensis subsp. rotundata (Guinea yam), 105 nucleotides. The record is from RefSeq and is a predicted model, not a curated record. NCBI's taxonomy places the organism in Eukaryota, Viridiplantae, Streptophyta, Magnoliopsida, Dioscoreales, Dioscoreaceae.